This 253-nucleotide ribosomal RNA is filed under the name uncultured bacterium. RNAcentral describes it as "partial 16S ribosomal RNA". It matches the Rfam family "Bacterial small subunit ribosomal RNA", at positions 524 to 776 of the family's 1533-position model. The record is from RNAcentral.
GACGGAGGGGGCGAGCGUUGUCCGGAAUUACCGGGCGUAAAGGGCGCGUAGGCGGUCGCGUACGGCGGUGGUGAAAGCUCCCGGCUCAACUGGGAGAGGCCCGCCGCAACGGCGCGACUCGAGGGCGGUAGGGGCGGAUGGAAUUCCUGGUGUAACGGUGAAAUGUGUAGAGAUCAGGAGGAACACCCGUGGUGAAAGCGGUCCGCUGGGCCGCACCUGACGCUGAGGCGCGAAAGCCAGGGGAGCGAACGGG